UUCAUGAAGCCGGAAUUGCUAGUAAUGGCAGGUCAGCAUACUGCCGUGAAUACGUUCCCGGGCCUUGUACACACCGCCCGUCACACCAUGAGAGUUGGGGAUACCCGAAGCCUGUGAGCUAACUAUUUAUAGGAGCAGCAGUCGAAGGUAGAAUCAAUGAUUGGGGUGAAGUCGUAACAAGGUAGC
RNAcentral lists this ribosomal RNA (186 nucleotides) under uncultured bacterium. Its description in RNAcentral is "partial 16S ribosomal RNA". It matches the Rfam family "Bacterial small subunit ribosomal RNA", at positions 1317 to 1500 of the family's 1533-position model. The record is from RNAcentral.